Molecule: ribosomal RNA, 460 nt
Filed under: uncultured bacterium
Lineage: Bacteria
Description: partial 16S ribosomal RNA
Rfam family: Bacterial small subunit ribosomal RNA
Source: RNAcentral
CCUACGGGUGGCAGCAGUGAGGAAUAUUGGACACUGGACGAGAGUCUGAACCAGCCAAGUAGCGUGAAGGAUGACUGCCCUAUGGGUUGUAAACUUCUUUUAUAUGGGAAUAAAAUGUUCCACGUGUGGGAUUUUGUAUGUACCAUAUGAAUACGGAUCGGCUAACUCCGUGCCAGCAGCCGCGUUAAGACGGAGGAUCCGAGCGUUAUCCGGAUUUCUUGGGUUUAAUGGGAGCGUAGGUGGAUUGUUAAGUCAGUUGUGAAAGUUUGCGGCUCAACCGUAAAAUUGCAGUUGAUACUGGCAGUCUUGAGUACAGUAGAGGGGGGCGGAAAUCGUGGUGUAGCGGUGAAAUGCUUAGAUAUCACGAAGAACUCCGAUGGCGAAGGCAGGUCACUGGACUGCAACUGACACUGAGGCUCGAAAGUGUGGGUAUCAAACAGGAUGAGAUACCCCAGUAGUC